GAUGAACGCUGGCGGCGUGCUUAACACAUGCAAGUCGAACGGAAGGGCUCCUGCUUGCAGGGGUACUCGAGUGGCGAACGGGUGAGUAACACGUGGGUGAUCUGCCCUGCACUUCGGGAUAAGCCUGGGAAACUGGGUCUAAUACCGGAUAGGACGAUGGUUUGGAUGCCAUUGUGGAAAGUUUUUUCGGUGUGGGAUGAGCUCGCGGCCUAUCAGCUUGUUGGUGGGGUAAUGGCCUACCAAGGCGUCGACGGGUAGCCGGCCUGAGAGGGUGUACGGCCACAUUGGGACUGAGAUACGGACCAGACUCCUACGGGAGGCAGCAGUGGGGAAUAUUGCACAGUGGGCGCAAGCCUGAUGCAGCGACGCCGCGUGGGGGAUGACGGCCUUCGGGUUGUAAACUCCUUUCGCUAGGGACGAAGCGAAAGUGACGGUACCUAGAGAAGAAGCACCGGCUAACUACGUG
Molecule: ribosomal RNA, 466 nt
Filed under: uncultured bacterium
Lineage: Bacteria
Description: partial 16S ribosomal RNA
Rfam family: Bacterial small subunit ribosomal RNA
Source: RNAcentral